This 696-nucleotide ribosomal RNA is filed under the name Triticum aestivum (bread wheat). RNAcentral's name for it is "partial small subunit ribosomal RNA". The record is from RNAcentral. Lineage: Eukaryota; Viridiplantae; Streptophyta; Magnoliopsida; Poales; Poaceae.
AUGUGGGAAGACUGCUUGCCUCAUAUUGAGUUUGCUUAUAAUCGUUCAUUGCAUUCUACUACUAAGAUGUGCCCUUUUGAAAUUGUGUAUGGUUUCCUACCUCGUGCACCUAUUGAUUUGUUGCCUCUUCCAUCUUCGGAGAAGGUUAAUUUUGAUGCUAAACAACGUGCUGAAUUGAUCUUAAAAAUGCAUGAGUUAACUAAGGAAAACAUUGAGCGUAUGAAUGCUAAAUAUAAACUUGCUGGAGAUAAGGGUAGAAAACAUGUUGUGUUUGCACCUGGAGAUCUUGUUUGGUUACAUUUGCGUAAGGAUAGAUUUCCUGAUUUGCGCAAAUCAAAGCUAAUGCCACGUGCUGAUGGUCCUUUUAAGGUGUUAGAGAAAAUAAAUGAUAAUGCAUAUAAACUUGAGCUGCCUGCAGAUUUUGGGGUUAGUCCCACUUUUAAUAUUGCAGAUUUGAAGCCUUAUUUGGGUGAGGAAGAUGAGCUUCCGUCGAGGACGACUUCAUUUCAAGAAGGGGAGGAUGAUGAGGACAUCAAUACAAUUAUUACACCCACAGGCCCUGCUGCUAUACAUACUGGACCAAUUACUAGAGCUCGCGCACGCCAAUUAAAUUACCAGGAAACAGACCCUCGUGGUCAGGUUGAUCGUGCUCCGGCGUGGUCGAUAACCUCUCGGAGUUGGUUUAGCGAUUGCUAA